Molecule: non-coding RNA, 150 nt
Organism: Fonsecaea pedrosoi CBS 271.37
Lineage: Eukaryota; Fungi; Ascomycota; Eurotiomycetes; Chaetothyriales; Herpotrichiellaceae
Source: the annotation of a RefSeq genome assembly
GCCCUGGUGGCACAAUUGGUCAGCGCGGUAAGUCCGGCCUCUGUCUUUGGGGGUUGACAAUAGUUCUAAUUAUGAUUCAGUGAGACUUUUAAAGCUACACCUGAAGCUAUGAUAAUCUCAAGGUUGAGAGUUCGAGCCUCUCCCAGGGCG